RNAcentral lists this ribosomal RNA (1527 nucleotides) under metagenome. RNAcentral describes it as "bacterial SSU rRNA". It matches the Rfam family "Bacterial small subunit ribosomal RNA". The record is from RNAcentral.
AGAGUUUGAUUCUGGCUCAGAACGAACGCUGGCAGCGUGGAUUAGGCAUGCAAGUCGAACGUGAUCCGGGGCUAUAGCAAUAUAAUCCUGGUGAAAGUGGCGAAUGGGUGAGUAACGCGUGGGUAAUCUACCUUCAAGUUGGGGAUAACCCGCCGAAAGGCGGGCUAAUACCGAAUGUGGUCUCUGGUCGCAUGGCCGGAUGACUGAAGGCGGGGAUCUUUCGGGACCUGUCGCUUGAAGAGGAGCCCGCGUCCCAUCAGCUAGUUGGUGAGGUAACGGCCCACCAAGGCUUACGGGUAGCUGGUCUGAGAGGACGACCAGCCACACUGGGACUGAGACACUGCCCAGACUCCUACGGGAGGCUGCAGUCGAGGAUCUUUUGCAAUGGGCGCAAGCCUGACAAGCGACGCUGCGUGGAGGAUGAAGGCCUUCGGGUUGUAAACUCCUGUCAUUCGGGAAAAAUGAUACGGCUUUGAAUAGAGGCCGUGUCCUGAUGGUACCGGAAGAGGAAGCCACGGCUAACUCUGCGCCAGCAGCCGCGGUAAUACAGAGGUGGCGAGCGUUGUUCGGAUUUACUGGGCGUAAAGGGCGCGUAGGCGGUUCCGCGUGUCGGUUGUGAAAUCCCACGGCUCAACUGUGGAAUGGCAUCCGAAACUGCGGGGCUGGAGUGCAGGAGGGGAGAGCGGAAUUCUUGGUGUAGCGGUGAAAUGCGUUGAUAUCAAGAAGAACACCGGUGGCGAAGGCGGCUCUCUGGAAUGUCACUGACGCUGAGGCGCGAAAGCUGGGGGAGCAAACAGGAUUAGAUACCCUGGUAGUCCCAGCCCUAAACGGUGUGCACUUGGUGUGGGAGGUAUUGACCCCUCCCGUGCCGGAGCUAACGCGUUAAGUGCACCGCCUGGGGAGUACGGCCGCAAGGCUAAAACUCAAAGAAAUUGACGGGGGCCCGCACAAGCGGAGGAGCAUGUGGCUUAAUUCGAUGCAACGCGAAGAACCUUACCAGGGCUUGACAUGUAGCUGCACGUCCCGUGAAAGCGGGAUUCCUUCGAGGGUGCUACACAGGUGCUGCAUGGCUGUCGUCAGUUCGUGCCGUGAGGUGUUGGGUUAAGUCCCGCAACGAACGCAACCCCUGUGUCUAGUUGCCACCCCCGAUGAUGAGUUGGGGAGCACUUUAGACAGACUGCCCGUACACACGGGAGGAAGGUGGGGACGACGUCAAGUCAGUAUGGCCCUUACGCCCUGGGCUGCACACGUGCUACAAUGGGCGGUACAGAGGGAUGCAAGACCGCGAGGUGGAGCAAAUCCUUAAACCGUCCUCAGUUCGGAUUGAAGUCUGAAACUCGACUUCAUGAAGCUGGAUUCGCUAGUAACGGCGCAUCAGCUACGGCGCCGUGAAUACGUUCCCGGGCCUUGUACACACCGCCCGUCACAUCAUGAAAGCCGUCUGCACCCGAAGUCGCCGGGCCAACCCGCAAGGGGGGCAGGUGCCGAAGGUGUGGGUGGUGAUUGGGAUGAAGUCGUAACAAGGUA